RNAcentral lists this long non-coding RNA (1134 nucleotides) under Vombatus ursinus (common wombat). RNAcentral's name for it is "lncRNA (ENSVURG00010023940.1)". The record is from RNAcentral. Lineage: Eukaryota; Metazoa; Chordata; Mammalia; Diprotodontia; Vombatidae.
CUUGUAUAUAGAUGUUUCAAUGAAGAACCCUCCAAAUACAGCAUAUGAUAAAUGCAUCCUAAGUACUCACGGUAUAUUGGGAGGGGGAAGUACUCAAUAGAUACAUAACACAGGUGAUGGGGCUAGCUGACCCUGUUUCUCUGGACUCAUUUGAGCUGAUAUAUAUACUGUGCACCUUGUAGUAAUGUCCACAAUUGGGAGUAUGCUAAGCGUAACAGAAGCAAGGAUGAGGACUGUGUACAGGAGAAGUUUUAAGAGACUAUACUACAUACAGAAUUGCUUCCUCAUUCUCACUUUCCAAAAUCCUAGCCAUCCUUCCAGGACCAACUCAAAUAGCAGAACAGAACAUGGAAUAGGGUGAUUACUCAGAAGUGAGAUUUAGACUCCAGAGAAGGAAAUGACAAGCCACUCUGAUAACUUUGCAAAGAAAAUCUUACGAACAGCACUGAUGUGCUAUGAUCCAUGGGAUCCUGAAGAAUCAGACACAACUGAAUGACUGAACAACAUCUUACUCCAGACCACAGAAAUCAACAUUUACUCUGUGAUUAUCUGUUCAAGCACAAAGAAUUUUCCAUCACUACCCGUUAUCACACAACAAAUAGGGGAAACUUCUCACCUGAACUGAAGAAGACAACUUACAAAGGGGACAUCUGCCAUACUCUGCUACUGAAACAAAGCUGAAUUGCUUCUCAAAAUAUUUCACCAUGUCCAAAAUAUGCUGUUAUAGGUAACUAUGUUAGUCAAUGACUAAUAUUCUGGUUGGCAAAUUCUACUGGCUGUUGCCGUUUCUAGUCUCUCUUUUAAGACAAUUUUAGUUAAUUCAAUAUUGAUAAAAGGGAGUAUUUUCCACCAGAAGAUGAAGAAAGAACAAGGAAAGAAAGGAAACUCAUCAAUGACUUGGGGGUGGAGCAAUUAAUCUUAUUAGAUCCAAGAGACAGGUUGAAAGCCAAACUUGAAAUCAAGUGUUCCAAUUACAAGUUUCUUUCUUCACUUCAGACUCAGAAAAUAACAACUGAGAGCAAUCUCACCAAGGUGCCAUAUUUACCCACAGUCCAAGAUUUUUAUUUCCUGUCCUCACUUUAUACACAUGAUCACAAUUAACACAGAUAUCCCCAGGUUUUAAUUCAAGCCUUG